This 175-nucleotide small nuclear RNA is filed under the name Zalophus californianus (California sea lion). RNAcentral's name for it is "U4 spliceosomal RNA (ENSZCAG00015004058.1)". It matches the Rfam family "U4 spliceosomal RNA". Rfam says of the family: U4 small nuclear RNA (U4 snRNA) is a component of the major U2-dependent spliceosome. The structure of U4 snRNA from yeast and human has been reported. U4 snRNA presents a k-turn RNA motif in the 5p-SL related to recognition of Snu13 protein. The record is from RNAcentral. Lineage: Eukaryota; Metazoa; Chordata; Mammalia; Carnivora; Otariidae.
GGCUUUGCGCAGUGGCAGUAUCGUAGCCAAUGAGGUUUAUCCAAGGCGCGAUUAUUGCUAAUUGAAAACAGAUGAUAUUCACAUAUAGCAAGGUAAAAAUCAUCAAAUCCAUAUAUAGGCAUUUGGUAACUGUCUCUUCGUACAUGGACAAUAUCUUUGUAAGCCUGUUUUCAGU